This 422-nucleotide long non-coding RNA is filed under the name Sorghum bicolor (sorghum). RNAcentral's name for it is "long non-coding RNA (SBIC_LNC011521)". Lineage: Eukaryota; Viridiplantae; Streptophyta; Magnoliopsida; Poales; Poaceae. The record is from RNAcentral.
UCGUCCUCAGCUCGCCAGCCAAGCAGAAGCAGGGCUGAGGCAGCCUUUCUUUUCUAUUUUUUUCUCUUUUUUUUCUCCUCUCUUCCUCCCUGAGUCCCAGAUACCCCUUUUCUCCCCGGUGGUGCACAAAAUUUUACAAAAUAGGUACUGUAGCACUUUAUUUGUAUUUGACAAUUAUUAUGUUUAAAAGAUUCGUCUCGCAAAUUAUAAGUAAAUUGUACAAUUAGUUAUUUUUUAUCUAUAUUUAAUACUACAUGCAUAUGCCGUAAGAUUCGAUGUGACGAAGAAUCUCGAAAAAUUUCGCAAAAUUUUUGGAAACUAAAUAACCCCCCAUUUUUCGGAUAUUACGGUGUUAUGGAAGCUAGAGCUCUCAUCCAACAUAGAGCAAUGGCUAUAACAACAUGUCAUUAUCGUCAUGCAAA